AGGAUUCUGGACCGGGAAUCCAUGGGCGAGGACUACUUCUGGGCCAUCAGAGGCGGCGGCGCAGCAAGCUUCGGCAUCGUCCUCUCAUACAAGAUCGAGUUGAACUACGUUCCGCCCAUCGUCACCGCAUUCAACGUGAUCAAGACCUUAAAGCAAGACGCCACAAAGCUGGUCACCAAGUGGCAACAGAUCGGCCCCAACCUCGACGAGAACCUGUACAUACGGGUCAUCUCGCUAGCGAUAGACGACGACGAAGCAGAGGGGAACAGGACCAUCCAAGCCGUGUUCAACUCCCUCUACUUGGGAACGUGCAAAGAGCUCCUCACCGUGAUGGGGAGCAGCUUCCCCGAGUUGGGGUUCGAGGCGGCAGACUGCAACGAGAUGAGUUGGUUGGAGUCCGUUCUGUUCUUCGCAAACUACUCCGGCAGACCGACCGAGGUCUUGUUGGAUAGGAAGCUGGAAUUCGACUUCUCCUUCAAGGCGAAAUCGGACUUCGUGAGAGAACCUGUGACAGAGACAACAUUGGAAGAGAUAUGGAGGUUUCUGAUGGAAGCGAAGGAUGAACCCGUGUUACUGUUCAUGGAGCCCUUCGGUGGGGUUCUGAACGAGAUAGCAGAGUCGGCGACUCCCUUCCCAUACAGGAAAGGGAAUCUGUACAUCAUCCAGUACUACAUGUGGUGGCUUGAGACGGACAUGGAGACAACGGAGAGGCACCUGAGUUGGAUGAGGAAGCUGUAUGCCUUGAUGACUCCGUACGUCUCUAAGAACCCGAGGGCAGCCUAUCUCAACUACAAGGAUAUCGACCUGGGAAGAACCGCUAAUGUUUGGGGUCCCAAGUACUUCAAGAACAACUUCAACAGGUUGGCGUACGUGAAGAGUAAGGUUGACCCACACAACUUCUUUCGGAAUGAACAAAGCAUUCCGCCUAUCAAGUCGCCGAAAACCUUUGACGAGAGGGAGGGAGAGAGAGAGAGAGAGAGAGAGAGAAUCCUGAGGUGUCACAUUAUCUCAAGUCAUAGUAAUGUUCAGCAGGUAUCUACAUUGGCAACAACAGAAAAUUUAUGCCUUGUUGGCAGCAAUAGCAAUUACAUGUAAAGCAAAUGGAUUCAACCUUAUCAUAGUGAAAUGGUGGGGUACAUGCAAGCAGCAAAUCAAUUGUGGCCCACACAAGAGAAAAGAGCCAUUACACAUCAGCAUGCCCAAAGCCAUGUACUCAGUAUUUAAGAAACCAUAUUUGAAGUUAAGGCUGACCAUCCAGAAGCAAAAUUUUGACUACAGAACUAGACAUGCCCCAAAAAAAUGCCCGGAUGCUUCUCCUACAUAUUCCAUCUCCAUAUCUAAAGACAAGUAAAAGCCCGUCUGCCAUGGAUGAUCAACCAUAAAGGAGAGAAUCUGAACAUAACAACAAGUGGAGAUAUCAUCUCAUUCUUCGUCCUCGAUGAAAUCUAAGCUUCCUUUCCAUCUCUCAAGCUCUCUUCCCGACUACAUUCCAUCUCUCUCUCACACACACACACAUUCAAUUUGUUGUAGACUUUUAAGGCAUGUCUUCCUUUCGCAAUUCUCAAACCAUGAGCAAAGAAGCUGGGGUGGAAACUUCUGCGUCGUAGUGCCGUGGACACAUGAAGGAGAAGAGGAUGAUUGGUGGCGGCUGAGAACUAGUUGCCCGUUGGAGAAGAUUAUGAUGGGUCUUGGAGACGAAGGUUUUUGAAAAGGAUGUGAGUGAGACCUGUCAUGCCAAAUAAUUUCAUGUGGAAUUCUAUACAGUUCCAACAUAUAUGAGAAUAAUCUCCCACCGUUCCUCAUAUCUGAGCUAAUGGCUCAAUCUUUUGGAAUUUAUCACGAAAUAACACACAAGAACUGAUGUGAAACCUCCAAAGAACUGUUUCUCCAAACUGCAUAAACUAUGUGUGUGUGUAUAUAUAUAUAUAUAUUGGUGGAUUGAUGGUCAAUCACACGUGUUCUUGAAAGCAAACUUCAUGCCCAUGCAGUAGUAAUAUCGUGUUCUCGAAGGAAAAGCUGAGAUGGACAACCAUUACCAUAGUCCACGAUUCAUGCAGACCAUAAGAAAAGUCCAUGUGUAGGAUAAGAACGUAUCAUGUCAUCCAUAUAUAUCAUAACAAGUCAGUCAUCAUUUCAAUCUUCCUUUGGUAAAAUACAAAGACUGUUCAGCGGUAGCUUCUGAUAUGUGAAAGAGAGACGUGUGUUGACUCUAAAACGGGAGUCUCUGCUACAUGGCACAAACCAUUCAACGAUGUCCAAUCCCAUCCACUCGAGCAACAUGCAGAAAACCUUCCAAGUUUCAACACCUCAAUUUAGCAAUCUUAUGCACUUCAAUUAUUACGCAUGAUUGCUCAUCCUGCAUUCGGAGCAGGAAAGAAGUCGAAUGGUAUGGACAUGAUAUACAAGUUAUUUACGGGUGGCUUCAAAGAUGUCACAGCUCAUACGAGAUUCAACAGGCAUUAUUAAUAUUGCUUGUGUGGAUAAUACGCAAGCUGGAUUCAAUCUUUCAAAGAUAUGCCACAGCAGACUUGUGAUGUUGAGUUCAAGAAACAUCCAAAAUAUUUCCAAAUCUUCAAUGCUGAGCAUGCAGACAAUGACUUCCAAGGAAAAUAUCAGCUGCCCAAGAAAACAUAUAGGAUUUUCUUUUUUGAUAUGCUUAUGCAAAUAAAAUUAUGCAGACAAUGGCAUCAAUUUAAUGCGUUCUUUAAAACUUCUUAUGCAAGUUUAUGACCAGAAAUGCUUAUGUUUUAUGAUGAUGUGAAUCCACGAAAAGUCUGAUGUGGAUUCGGAUAAACCUGUUUGGUCGGAAUGAGGAGUUCUAUGACCGAGAAGUUGCAGCAUAAAAGGUGACAAAAAGGAAAUGAAGCAUUUGUCUUUGUUGUCAUUAUGUGAUGAGACUUCACGUAAGUAAAUUGACUUCUCAAUGAUUUGCCUUGCAAUCAAGCAGGUUUACGUGAUCUCCUUGCAACCAUGCACGUGUACAUAAAUAAGACCUUGUUAUUAUUCAUUCUAUUGACAGUACUCGGUGAUUAUGGAUUUGUAGGCAUCAAAUAUAUAAAAUUAAUGUUAUCUUAUUUUUAUGAUAUUAUGGAUGUAGCUUUUAGCCUAAGUUAUAUCAUUGAUACGAUCAUAAACUCGUGCAAUCUAACAAGGACAUGCAUCGAAAGAAGAUUAAUUAGUGAUCAGCAAACGUUGCAUAAACUAUCCAUGGAAGCGUGAAUAAAAUCCAAUAUCCUUGAUCAUUUUAUAUAUUAUAUUUAUAUUUAUAUAGUUUAUCUCGAAGCUAAUGGUCUCCACGUAUAUUUUUAACAAGUAUUUGUAAAUGAUAUUUUGAUUGGGGUUUUCAAUAUAUGUCAUCCAUUUGUCGAUCUACAUUCUACAUGCAAGCUGUGUAGAUAAAGUCAAACAUUGAGAAAAGUAAACGCCGAAUCCAAAUACAUCUUUCACACUUCUUCUGCACGUCCAAAACCUCACAUGUCUUUCUCCUAUAUAAACCAACCAUCCAUGGAGAGAUCUCAUCAGCAAUAGAGGAAGAAGACUGAGCUCAAACAACAAUGGCGUUACCGGCCUCAUUAAGCCUUGCAGUUCUUUCUCUUCUUCUCACAGCCAACUCCGCCAUCAGCUCUCUCGACGCCACGCAUGAAAGCUUCAUCCAGUGCUUCCUUGACCACACUCGUCCCUCUAACUCGUCCUCCCAACUCGUGUACUCGCCUAACACCACCACCUACGAUGCCGUCCUCCGAUCAUCCAUCCAAAACAUCCGCUUCCUCUACUCGUCGAGCACGACGAAGCCCGUCCUCAUCGUGACCGCGACCAACGAGUCGCACGUCCAGGCCGCCGUCGUCUGUAGCAGGAAGCACGGCCUCCGCGUCCGGGUCCGAAGCGGCGGCCACGACUACGAGGGCAUGUCGUACGUGUCGGAAGGCGAUCGGUUCAUUAUCGUCGACCUCGCUGCUCUCCGGUCCAUCACGGUCGAUGCCGAGCACGGCACGGCCUGGGUUCAGGCGGGUGCAACGCUCGGAGAGGUCUACUACACCAUCGCGGAGAAGAACAGGACCGUCGGGUUCUCGGCCGGUAUCUGCCCAACGGUCGGUGUCGGCGGCCACUUCAGCGGCGGCGGGAUAGGCACCCUGUCGAGGAAGUACGGCACCGCGGCUGACAACAUCGUGGAUGCCCGGUUGGUGGACGUCAACGGAAGGAUUCUGACCCGGAAAUCCAUGGGCGAGGACUACUUCUGGGCCAUCAGAGGCGGCGGCGCAGCAAGCUUCGGCAUCGUCCUCUCAUACAAGAUCGAGUUGAACUACGUUCCGCCCGUCGUCACCGCAUUCAACGUGAUCAAGACCUUAAAGCAAGACGCCACAAAGCUGGUCACCAAGUGGCAGCAGAUCGGCCCCAACCUCGACGAGAACCUGUACAUACGGGUCAUCGCGCAAGCCAUGGACGACGACGAAGCAGAGGGGAACCGGACCAUCCAAGCCGUGUUCAACUCCCUCUACUUGGGAACGUGCAAAGAGCUCCUCACCGUGAUGGGGAGCAGCUUCCCCGAGUUGGGGUUCGAGGCGGCAGACUGCAACGAGAUGAGUUGGUUGGAGUCCGUUCUGUUUUUCGCAGGCUACUCCGGCAGACCGAGCGAGAUCUUGUUGGAUAGGAGGCCGGAGUUCAACAGCUCCUUCAAGGCGAAGUCGGACUUCGUGAGAGAACCUGUGACAGAGACAGCAUGGGAAGAGAUAUGGAGGUUUCUGAUGGAAGCGAAGGAUGAACCCUUGGUACUGAUCAUGGAGCCCUUCGGUGGGGUUCUGGAUGAGAUAGCAGAGUCGGCGACUCCCUUCCCAUACAGGAAAGGGUAUCUGUACAUCAUCCAGUACUUCAUGAGGUGGUUUGAGACGGACAUGGAGACAACGGAGAGGCAUCUGAAUUGGAUGAGGAAGCUGUAUGCCUUGAUGACUCCGUACGUCUCUAAGAACCCGAGGGCAGCCUAUCUCAACUACAAGGAUAUCGACCUGGGAAGAACUUACAGGGUUUGGGGUCCCAAGUACUUCAACAACAACUUCAAGAGGUUGGCGAACGUGAAGAGCAAGGUUGACCCACACAACUUCUUCAGGAAUGAACAAAGCAUUCCGCCUAUCAUGUCGCUCUAAGGAUACGUCUUCACGUAUACAUCUAUGAGCUUCAUUAUGUUGUAUUGAUAUAAUAAUUCCAUCGUAGAGAUGUAAGAGUAUGCAUGAUGUGCUACGAUUAGGUUGUAUAAGCAAUAAAUCAUGAAAUAAAGGUCAGCGAGUUCAUGCCAAUGAACAACAACAAUAGACUCGACGAUGACAUAGAGAGAGAGAGAGAGAGAGAGCAUCCUGCGGUGUCACUUGAGCUCGAGUCAUAGUAAUGUUCAGCUGGUAUCGACAUUGUCAGCAUGCCCAAAGAAGUCCAAUGCCAUGUACUUGCAGUAUAAGAAACCAUGUUUGAAGUUUAGACUGACCAUCCAGAAGCAAAAUUUUGACUGCAUAACGAGACAUGCCCCCAAAAGAUUGCCUGGAUGACUCUACCACAUAUUCCAUCUCCAUAUCUAAAGCCAAGAAGAAGGUCAUCUGCCAAGGAAGAGCAACCAUAAAGGAAAGAAUCUGAACAUAAUACCAAGUGGAGAUAUGCAUGAUGGCCCAGAAAUUAGAUGUUUAGAAAUCCUUCCCGUAGCAGCUUGACUGAAGGCAGGAACUAAGCAUGGCGAAACCAACAAAAAAGCAUUAGAAAGAUUGAUCAGAAAAUGUAACAAGGUGGAAGGCAACAUAAGCCUUGGUCAAAGUACUUGAAAUGUAAAUUACCCAACAGAUUAAAUUCCUUGAUGCAACUUAGCAUGAAUCAUAAAAUCAAUACCCAUGAUGACACCACAAAGAAACAAAUUCUAUUUAAGCAGAUAAGAUAAUUCCUGGCUACACACAACAAAGAUAUAUAUAAAAAAAGAUUCUAUCAGUUGAACUUCCAAGUAAAUAUCAACUUAGGCUGGAUCAUAUAAUCAGUACCCAAAAAUUACCAUGCAAUCAUGAUGAUGCUACAAAGAAAAAAAAAUAUACUAAGCAGACAAGAUAAUUCCAAGGAAAUAUAUUUUUAUUUUUAUAUUUAUUUAAUAUAGAUUAUUUCUAUUUAAUAUAUUAACAAAUAUGAUCUCAUCCUAUUUGGAAUGCUUAAUAGUUAUUUCCUAAUUUACAACGGCAAGUAAGAAAAAUAAAAUUUAAAUCCUGUUAGUGUAAACAACCUUUAAGUCGUGGCCUUGGGACCGAGGCGACUUGAUUCGGGUCCGAAUGAUAGGGAUUUUCCCAAGACGGCCUUUGAGUCCGCCGAGGUGGUCGACCGCGGUGGUCGAGACGAUGUCGUAGUCCACUCCGAGCAAGAAUUCGCCUUCGAGUUUCGUAGGGACCAUCGGCAUCGCCCCUGCACAAAGGUCGAGUCGGGGUGCUCGGCUCGACCCCUCCGACGAUCAAGUUAGUCGAUGUAAAGGGGAAGUCAGACGGAGAAGUUCUCCCCCCCUUUCCUCUUUGGAAUAUGAGGGUACUUACAGGGAAGCUUACUAUUUCCUAACGUGCCCGCUUGCAGGGGGCAGGGUGAUGACGUCUGAUACUGGUGUUGGCGUGGCGUGAAGAAUCGAGCCUGAGCAAGCGUAAAUGCGCCUCGGCCGACGUUCUGGUCCGUUUGACCAGGUGAUGUCACGUCGAUCGAGGCGUGAGGCGUCAUUAGACGUCAGCCGAGUCUCAUCAUAAUUACUAUCCUCAUCAAAUCCCAAUCUUAAAUAUUUGAUUUGAUUACAGAUUGAUUAUAGACAGAAGGAUAACAUUAAUAAUAUAUAACUGUCAUUACUCAUAACGAGACUUAAUAUUAUAUUAUUAUAUUUUUGAAACUUAUUCACUUAUUUUAUAAAAUUUAUACGCACAUGUAAAAUAUUUUUUCAAAAAAUUCAGAAUCCAAUUAAGUAAAUUAUUUUUAAAUAUAUUUUUUAUUUUACUUAUUUUGAUUUAAAAGUUUUUUAUGCCUUACGAAUUAAUAAGCCAACUUGGAGAAUGUUAUGUUAUGUGAUCCUAUCUUAAUAUAUUAUAAAUCUGAUUGAUUCUGAUUAAUAUAAAAAAAUUCAAAUAUAGUAUGAUUUAUUAGGAGAUUAACUUGAUGGGAGCAGUCCUUCCCUAUAAAUAAACAAGAAUUUUAGAGCUGAGAUAUUAUAGAUUUUUUCUUUUCUAUCUUUAGUGAAAAAUUAGUGGUGGUCGGAGAUGACAGACUAACAAUCGCUGUAAGUUUCAAAUCCAUAUCAAAGAUUUUCUAAAUAAAGUAUGCAAUUCUAUUUUUAAUUUUUGAUUUUAGUAUUUUUUUAGAACAGAUGCAUAAUUAUAGUUUUAUGCUUACACUCGUAUCUUUCCCUUGUAUAAAACUACAACCCAUGGCGAGAUCUCAUCAGCAGAAGACGAAGAAGAGUGAGCCCAAACAACAAUGGCGUUAUCAGCCUCAGCAAGUCUUGCAGUUCUUUCUCUUCUUCUUACAGCCACCUCCGCUAUCAGCUCUCUCAACGCCACCCAUGAAGGCUUCAUGAAGUGCUUCCUUGACCAAACUGGUACCUCCAACUCAUCCUCCCAACUCUUGUACUCCCCCAACACCACAGCCUACGACGCCAUCCUCCGAUCAUCCAUCCAAAACAUCCGCUUCAUCUACUCGUCGAGCACGACGAAGCCCGUCCUCAUCGUGACCGCGACCAACGAGUCGCACGUCCAGGCCGCCGUCGUCUGUAGCAGGACGCACGGCCUCCGCGUCCGGGUCCGAAGCGGCGGCCACGACUACGAGGGCAUGUCGUACGUGUCGGAAGGUGAUCGGUUUAUCAACGUCGACCUCGCUGCUCUCCGGUCCGUCACUGUCGAUGCCGAGCACGGCACGGCCUGGGUUCAGGCGGGUGCAACGCUCGGAGAGGUCUACUACACCAUCGCGGAGAAGAACAGGACCGUCGGGUUCUCGGCCGGUGUCUGCACCACGAUUGGUGUCGGCGGCCACUUCAGCGGCGGCGGGAUAGGGACCUUGUCGAGGAAGUACGGCACCGCUGCUGACAACAUCGUAGAUUUGCGAUUGGUGGACGCCAACGGAAGGAUACUGGACCGGGAAUCCAUGGGGGAGGACUACUUCUGGGCCAUUAGAGGCGGCGGCGCAGCAAGCUUCGGCAUCGUCCUCUCCUACAAGAUCGAGUUGAACUACGUUCCGCCCAUCGUCACCGCAUUCAACGUGAUCAAGACCUUAAAGCAAGACGCCACAAAGCUGGUCACCAAGUGGCAGCAGAUCGGCCCCAACCUCGACGAGAACCUGUACAUACGGGUCAUCGCGCUAGCCAAGGACGACGACGAAGCAGAGGGGAACCGGACCAUCCAAGCCGUGUUCAACUCCCUCUACUUGGGAACAUGCAAAGAGCUCCUCACCGAGAUGGGGAGCAGAUUCCCCGAGUUGGGGUUCGAGGCGGCAGACUGCAACGAGAUGAGUUGGUUGGAGUCCGUUCUGUUCUUCGCAGGCUACUCGGGUAGACCGACCGAGGUCUUGUUGGAUAGGAGGCCGGAGUUCAACAGCUCCUUCAAGGCGAAGUCGGACUUCGUGAGAGAACCCGUGACAGAGACAACAUUGGAAGAGAUAUGGAGGAUUCUGAUGGAAGCGAAGGAUGAACCCUUGGUACUGAUCAUGGAGCCCUUCGGUGGGGUUCUGGAUGAGAUAGCAGAGUCGGCAACUCCCUUCCCUCACAGGAAAGGGAAUCUGUACAUCAUCCAGUACUUCAUGAGGUGGUUUGAGACGGACGUGGAGACAACGGAGAGGCACCUGAAUUGGCUGAGGAAGCUGUAUGCCUUCAUGACUCCGUACGUCUCUAAGAACCCGAGGGCAGCCUAUCUCAACUACAAGGAUAUCGACCUGGGAAGAACUG
RNAcentral lists this long non-coding RNA (8920 nucleotides) under Musa acuminata (dwarf banana). RNAcentral describes it as "long non-coding RNA (MACU_LNC001503)". Lineage: Eukaryota; Viridiplantae; Streptophyta; Magnoliopsida; Zingiberales; Musaceae. The record is from RNAcentral.